GCGAUAGUGGUACAGUUGGUAGUACGUCGCCUUGCCAAGGCGAAGAUCGCGGGUUCGAGUCCCGUCUAUCGCU
Molecule: transfer RNA, 73 nt
Filed under: Lachnospiraceae bacterium
Lineage: Bacteria; Bacillati; Bacillota; Clostridia; Lachnospirales; Lachnospiraceae
Also listed under: 1 other name
Description: tRNA-Gly
Rfam family: tRNA
About the family: Transfer RNA (tRNA) molecules are approximately 80 nucleotides in length.
Source: RNAcentral